GGAGGGUGCAAGCGUUAUCCGGAUUCACUGGGUUUAAAGGGAGCGUAGGAGGGCAGGUAAGUCAGUGGUGAAAUCUUCGAGCUUAACUCGGAAACUGCCGUUGAUACUAUCUGUCUUGAAUACCGUGGAGAUGAGCGGAAUAUGUCAUGUAGCGGUGAAAUGCUUAGAUAUGACAUAGAACACCAAUUGCGAAGGCAGCUCGUUACACGAAUAUUGACUCUGAGGCUCGAAAGCGUGGGGAUCAAACAGGAUUAGAUACCCUGGUAGUCCACGCCCUAAACGAUGGAUACUCGACAUACGCGAUACACUGUGUGUGUCUGAGCGAAAGCAUUAAGUAUCCCACCUGGGAAGUACGACCGCAAGGUUGAA
This 369-nucleotide ribosomal RNA is filed under the name uncultured bacterium. RNAcentral's name for it is "bacterial SSU rRNA". It matches the Rfam family "Bacterial small subunit ribosomal RNA", at positions 527 to 898 of the family's 1533-position model. The record is from RNAcentral.